AUUUAGAGGAAGGAGAAGUCGUAACAAGGUUUCCGUAGGUGAACCUGCGGAAGGAUCAUUGUCGAAACCUGCCCGGCAGAGCGACCCGCGAACCCGUUACAAAACACCGGGGGGCGAGGGCGUGCUUCUUUGCCCCCGAGCCCCUCACGCCCGGGCGCCGGCGGGCGUCGUGUCCGUCCCGCCCCCGUCGGCGGGGCGGACGCGAUGACCGGCGGCGCGCGGCGCCGACUAACGAAACCCCGGCGCGAAUCGCGCCAAGGAACUCGAACUUAAAGCGCACGGCGGGAGCCGGCCCGGCAUCUCGGUGCCCGGCGACCGGUCGUGCCCGAUCUAUUGAGAAUCUAAAACGACUCUCGGCAACGGAUAUCUCGGCUCUCGCAUCGAUGAAGAACGUAGCGAAAUGCGAUACUUGGUGUGAAUUGCAGAAUCCCGUGAACCAUCGAGUCUUUGAACGCAAGUUGCGCCCCAAGCCAUUAGGCCGAGGGCACGUCUGCCUGGGUGUCACGCAUCGUCGCCCCCCACGCCCCCGAGCCCACGGGGCUCGCGGACGAGUCGGGCGGAGAAUGGCCUCCCGUGAGCCGACGCUCGCGGUCGGCCCAAAAAGCCGGUCCCCGGCGACAAGAGCGCCACGGCUGUCGGUGGUAACGCUGCAAGCGCCCCUCGGAGCCUGUCGUGCGCGCCCUCGUCCGGGCGGACCCCAUCGAAAGACCCUAGCGCGUCGCUCGGUCGACGCUCGCGUCGCGACCCCAGGUCAGGCGGGAUCACCCGCUGAGUUUA
Molecule: ribosomal RNA, 777 nt
Filed under: Microcos paniculata
Lineage: Eukaryota; Viridiplantae; Streptophyta; Magnoliopsida; Malvales; Malvaceae
Description: eukaryotic LSU rRNA
Rfam family: 5.8S ribosomal RNA (bases 349-504)
Source: RNAcentral